GCUGGGCAUGGUGGCUCAUGCCUGUAAUUCCAGCACUUUGGGAAGCUGAGGUGGGUGGAUCACCUGAGGCCAGGAGUUUAAGACCAGCCUGGCCAACAUGGUGAAACCCCAUCUCUA
Unclassified non-coding RNA from Macaca fascicularis (crab-eating macaque), 117 nucleotides. It matches the Rfam family "Metazoan signal recognition particle RNA". From Rfam's summary of the family: The signal recognition particle (SRP) is a universally conserved ribonucleoprotein. It is involved in the co-translational targeting of proteins to membranes. The eukaryotic SRP consists of a 300-nucleotide 7S RNA and six proteins: SRPs 72, 68, 54, 19, 14, and 9. The record is from Ensembl. NCBI's taxonomy places the organism in Eukaryota, Metazoa, Chordata, Mammalia, Primates, Cercopithecidae.